Molecule: long non-coding RNA, 659 nt
Organism: Cyprinus carpio (common carp)
Lineage: Eukaryota; Metazoa; Chordata; Actinopteri; Cypriniformes; Cyprinidae
Exons: 3
Source: RefSeq, a predicted model, not a curated record
CACAAGUUCCUCAAACAACUGUGGUAAGAAUCUUUCAUCAAGCACGGUCAGCAAUGUUGAAAGCAGGAGUCUCAAAAAUAUGCCAUCUACGCAGGGGACUGAGCGGGAUACCUGCAGAGGAAUUGGCACAUAAGUGUUCCAAAUCAUCCGCAGCUGACAACAGUUAGCGGAGGCUUGGUUUUCCCUGUUCUACAGCAAGCAGCAGAUAUAAAGCGGGAGAGAAGCAUUGCUCAGGAGGAGUUACUUAUCUGCUAUCCCAGCGACGUGAUUGUGCUUUCUUUUUGCUGUUGAGCAAUCUGUGAAAUGUAAACCUAAUGAGUGGGUACAUCAACUUUACUGUUUAAACUCGGCGUGAGUCUAUUUCUUGUAGGGAGAUGGGUGCCGAUUUAUUUGGGUUUAUCCCCUACUUCACUUUUUUCUCCUGUUUUUCUUUAGUUAGGGAGAGAGGUAAGAUUGUUGUCUUUAAUUUGGUUUUCUGUUGCCAGGGAAGUUAUUUUUGCUUAACCCUUAGUUAGACUGUUUUGUUUGUUAUUUUGACCUUUGCUCUCUCACGGCGCUUUAGUUAAGUUGUUUAAUUGUCAAUACAUUCGUAUGGUUUCUACAUGUUGUUGUUGUUGUUGUUGUUAUUUUUAAACCCUUAAUAAAAACUCGUAAAUGUG